This 795-nucleotide unclassified non-coding RNA is filed under the name Hevea brasiliensis (rubber tree). The record is from RNAcentral. Lineage: Eukaryota; Viridiplantae; Streptophyta; Magnoliopsida; Malpighiales; Euphorbiaceae.
GAAAUAUGUUGAGUUGGGGGGAUUUGUCUUGGGAUGAUCAAGCUUCAAUCAGAGGAUACUGGGAGGAGGCUGACGAAUAUUUUGAUCCUAUGAGUAGCUACCGUCAUGUUGGUGGCAGGACCAUGCUGGUAGAUGUAGAUCUGAAAGUCCAGUCAAGUUAUCAGAGAGAACAUGUGCCUAUGAUUUCAUUGAUGAGUAAGCUAAAUGGGCAAGCAAUAAUAGGGCAUCCUAUCCAAGUUGAAAUCCUUGCAGACGGUUCUACUGACAGCUUCCUUGGGGAUAUUGAUAAUUAUCCAGAGACAUUGGAUUAUGAUCCAUCACUCCAACCUACAUGGAGAACUGCUCGCCGGACUGCCAAUGUUCGUGUUCCAAGGCCACAUGUAUCAUCAGCAAAAGAUAAUCCUGAAGGAAUAAAGCAUGUCCAGGGUUCCGAUCAUCACAGAAAUGUUCGAAAAGCUACUGUACAGAAGGCAAGCACGACGAGGAAGGCCACAUCCCGGCCUCCCUUAGAAAGAACAUUUUCAAGGAAGCCAGGGAAAAAGGUUAGUUUAUCUUCUAACCAAAAGAUAAGGACGCUUUCUUCGAUUGCCUCACAACAGAAACAAAGUAGUGAUUCUAACAGUUAUCAAGUGGAUGGAGCACUCAAACAAGAGACACUACCAACUGUUGUAGCUUGUAUUCCGGUAAAGUUAGUCUUCAGUAGGUUGAAUGAGGAGUUAGUGGGCCGUCGUCCAUAAUAAUUUUGUAGCAUGGGCUAAAAAGGAAGGCAAUACAGACAAUAAUAUACAAGUAACA